UAGGUGAACCUGCGGAAGGAUCAUUAAAGUGUUUCGGAGCCUGGUUCGGGCAUCUCAGCUCGAGGUGUCGGUGCCAGCGCCCCCACACGUGUUUACUCAACUUGGUUGCCUUGGCGAGCCUGCCCCUGUGGCUGUCGGGGAUGCCUCACGGUGUCCUGGGCUCGUGCUCGCCAGUGGAACAUUUGAACUCUAAAAUGAAAAUAGUCAGUCUGAGCAUUAUGCAAAUUAAAUAAAACUUUCAACAACGGAUCUCUUGGUUCCGGCAUCGAUGAAGAACGCAGCGAAAUGCGAUAAGUAAUGUGAAUUGCAGAAUUCCGUGAAUCAUCGAAUCUUUGAACGCACAUUGCGCCCUCUGGUAUUCCGGGGGGCAUGCCUGUUCGAGCGUCAUUGCAACCCCUCAAGCACGGCUUGUGUGUUGGGCCAUCGUCCCUUUUUGUGGACGGGCCUGAAAUGCAGUGGCAGCACCGAGUUCUGGUGUCUGAGUGUAUGGGAAUCUCUUAUCGCUCAAAGACCCAAUCGGCGCUGAUGUCAGAUUUUUAUCCAGUUUGACCUCGGAUCAGGUAGGAAAACCCGCUGAACUUAAGCAUAUCAAUAAGCGGAGGAAAAGAAACCAACAGGGAUUGCCUCAGUAACGGCGAGUGAAGCGGCAAAAGCUCAAAUUUGAAAUCUGGCACCGUUAGGUGUCCGAGUUGUAAUUUGGAGAGGAUACUUCGGGUGUGGCUACGGCGUAAGUCCCUUGGAAAAAGGCGUCAUAGAGGGUGAGAAUCCCGUCUUAAGUCGUUUGUCCAUGCCCAUGCGAAGUUCCUUCGACGAGUCGAGUUGUUUGGGAAUGCAGCUCUAAGUGGGUGGUAAAUUUCAUCUAAAGCUAAAUAUUGGCCGGAGACCGAUAGCGAACAAGUAGAGUGAUCGAAAGGUUAAAAGCACCUUGAAAAGGGAGUUAAAUAGCACGUGAAAUUGUUGAAAGGGAAGCGCUUGCAACCAGACUCGGUCAUAGGGGCUCAGCGAGCAUGCGUGCUCGUGUACUCCCCUGUGUUCGGGCCAGCAUCAGUUCUGGCGGUUGGUUAAAGGCCCUUGGAAUGUAUCGUCCUCCGGGACGUCUUAUAGCCAAGGGUGUAAUGCAGCCAGCCGGGACUGAGGAACGCGCUUCGGCACGGAUGCUGGCGUAAUGGUUGUAAGCGGCCCGUCUUGAA
Molecule: ribosomal RNA, 1190 nt
Filed under: Chrysosporium articulatum
Lineage: Eukaryota; Fungi; Ascomycota; Eurotiomycetes; Onygenales; Onygenaceae
Description: eukaryotic LSU rRNA
Rfam family: Eukaryotic large subunit ribosomal RNA (bases 547-1190)
Source: RNAcentral